This 90-nucleotide transfer RNA is filed under the name Chloroflexota bacterium. Its description in RNAcentral is "tRNA-Ser". It matches the Rfam family "tRNA". Rfam says of the family: Transfer RNA (tRNA) molecules are approximately 80 nucleotides in length. Their secondary structure includes four short double-helical elements and three loops (D, anti-codon, and T loops). The record is from RNAcentral. Lineage: Bacteria; Bacillati; Chloroflexota. RNAcentral also lists the same sequence under 1 other name.
GGAGGGAUGACCGAGCGGCCGAAGGUGCAUGUCUUGAAAACAUGUGUGGGUUAACGCCCACCGUGGGUUCGAAUCCCACUCCCUCCGCCA